RNAcentral lists this microRNA precursor (86 nucleotides) under Solanum lycopersicum (tomato). RNAcentral describes it as "MIR8024 microRNA precursor family". It matches the Rfam family "MIR8024 microRNA precursor family". The record is from Rfam by way of RNAcentral. Lineage: Eukaryota; Viridiplantae; Streptophyta; Magnoliopsida; Solanales; Solanaceae.
UUGAAGAAUUUAAAGAUUUCAACUUACAGAAUUGAUGAUUUAAAAGACUUCAACUAGCAUACUUGGAGAUUUUGAAGACUUCAUCU